Molecule: long non-coding RNA, 234 nt
Filed under: Panax ginseng (ginseng)
Lineage: Eukaryota; Viridiplantae; Streptophyta; Magnoliopsida; Apiales; Araliaceae
Description: long non-coding RNA (PGIN_LNC002757)
Source: RNAcentral
UUUAACAUGACUGUCCAGGAUGUAGUGGCUACGAAGGACGUGGUGUCAGGUAUAAUCCCAAUCAAUAAUAUAAAUGUUUAUGUAUUAUUUGAUUCGGGUGCCACCGGUUCUUUUGUAUCUGAAAAAUUUGCUAGUAAAUUUAGUACACCCCAAGAAUGUUUAGAUGAUUCCUUGAACAUAGAGGUUGCGAAUAAGGAAAUAAUCCCUGUAGAGUACGUUUAUCAAAAUUAUCGC